RNAcentral lists this long non-coding RNA (598 nucleotides) under Salmo salar (Atlantic salmon). Its description in RNAcentral is "lncRNA (ENSSSAG00000111547.1, ENSSSAG00075015497.1)". Lineage: Eukaryota; Metazoa; Chordata; Actinopteri; Salmoniformes; Salmonidae. The record is from RNAcentral.
UGUUCACUCACUAAGGUCUGAAGAAGAGAGGUUGAAAGAUUGAAAAAGGCAGCGAAAACAAAACACACUACAGGACGUAGAAAACUUCCCCCCCAAGAAGUCACAGCAUGCCACAUCUGCAUCCAGCUCUGCAGGAUCAGACGAUACUGAAAACAAAAUGCACGGCGAACUGGGAGCUGUGAACUGGGAUGCAGAUGUUCUUCUAAGGGACACCCUAGAGGCAGCAAGGUGGUGUGAACUCCAAACAUUUAAAGGCACUGUUUCCCUCCCUAGUGUAAUUGAGAUGGAGGGGGAAGACGCAUUACAACCCUUAAAGAACUACGGUUGUAUGAUGGACUGGAUCAAUAUUCUCCUCAAGGAACCAUUCAUGUUCCAGUUACAGAGAGAUUAUGAGAUGUUCUAUUUGGAGGCAGUUGACAACAAGACAAUUACUGUCUUUAUCUCUUUUGAGGAGCAGGAGUGAAGCCAUUUUUGAGGAGUGGUCAAACCUUGUUUUUGUAUGCUGUGCUAAUUGUUUCAAUUGUUAAUUAUGUUAUGUUGUUUAGUAAAGAUGACAUAGAAGUCACCCGAGUCUCUGAUCUCUUUACCGGAGCUGGUA